RNAcentral lists this ribosomal RNA (641 nucleotides) under uncultured bacterium. RNAcentral describes it as "bacterial SSU rRNA". It matches the Rfam family "Bacterial small subunit ribosomal RNA", at positions 210 to 847 of the family's 1533-position model. The record is from RNAcentral.
GCGAUCCGGUGGCGGAUGGGCAUGCGGCGCAUUAGCUAGACGGCGGGGUGACGGCCCACCGUGGCGACGAUGCGUAGGGGUUCUGAGAGGAAGGCCCCCCACACUGGGACUGAGACACGGCCCAGACUCCUACGGGAGGCAGCAGUGAGGAAUAUUGGUCAAUGGGCGGAAGCCUGAACCAGCCAAGUCGCGUGAGGGAUUAAGGCCCUGCGGGUCGUAAACCUCUUUUGCCGGGGAGCAGUGGUCCGGACGCGUCCGGGCCGGGAGAGUACCCGGAGAAAAAGCAUCGGCUAACUCCGUGCCAGCAGCCGCGGUAAUACGGAGGAUGCGAGCGUUAUCCGGAUUUAUUGGGUUUAAAGGGUGCGUAGGCGGGCAUUUAAGCCGGCGGUCAAAUGUCGGGGCUCAACCCCGGCCUGCCGUCGGAACUGGGUGCCUUGAGUGGGCGAGAAGUAUGCGGAAUGCGUGGUGUAGCGGUGAAAUGCAUAGAUAUCACGCAGAACCCCGAUUGCGAAGGCAGCAUACCGGCGCCCUACUGACGCUGAGGCACGAAAGUGCGGGUAUCGAACAGGAUUAGAUACCCUGGUAGUCCGCACAGUAAACGAUGGAUGCUAUCUGUCCGGGCCGAAUGAGGCCUGGGUGGC